This 427-nucleotide ribosomal RNA is filed under the name uncultured bacterium. RNAcentral describes it as "bacterial SSU rRNA". It matches the Rfam family "Bacterial small subunit ribosomal RNA", at positions 355 to 774 of the family's 1533-position model. The record is from RNAcentral.
UGGGGAAUUUUGGACAAUGGGCGCAAGCCUGAUCCAGCAAUGCCGCGUGCAGGAUGAAGGCCUUCGGGUUGUAAACUGCUUUUGUACGGAGCGAAAAGGUCUGCCCUAAUACGGUGGGCUCAUGACGGUACCGUAAGAAUAAGCACCGGCUAACUACGUGCCAGCAGCCGCGGUAAUACGUAGGGUGCGAGCGUUAAUCGGAAUUACUGGGCGUAAAGCGUGCGCAGGCGGUUAUAUAAGACAGAGGUGAAAUCCCCGGGCUCAACCUGGGACCUGCAUUUGUGACUGUAUAGCUAGAGUACGGUAGAGGGGAAUGGAAUUCCGCGUGUAGCAGUGAAAUGCGUAGAUAUGCGGAGGAACACCGAUGGCGAAGGCAAUCCCCUGGACCUGUACUGACGCUCAUGCACGAAAGCGUGGGGAGCAAACA